Molecule: non-coding RNA, 802 nt
Organism: Oncorhynchus mykiss (rainbow trout)
Lineage: Eukaryota; Metazoa; Chordata; Actinopteri; Salmoniformes; Salmonidae
Source: RefSeq, a predicted model, not a curated record
UAAAUUACAGGCCUCUCUCAUCUUUUUAAGUGGGAUAACUUGCACAAUUGGUGGCUGACUAAAUACUUUUUUGCCCCACUGUACUUGGAGGCACAAUCAGACUCAACUGAAGGUUUUGAGGGAUAUCCAGGGAUCUGGAUGUCAUCCCUGAAGAUGGAAUACAUUGCCUCAUGGACACGGUCUAUGAUAACCUACUGGAUGAGAAUGGUGUCCUCAGGCGGCGCUGGUGCAAAAACCUCACAGGAAGACCUUGAUUCUUCAGAAGCGAAUUCACUGCACACCUGGCUGCGCUGUCGUCUGACGAUGAGAUGCCCAGCAUUUUGGCUCAGAGUGGGAUGACACCCCAUGCCGAUUCACCAAUGGACUCAACUGCCUCCACGACCUCUCCUGACAGUGAUAUCUGAGUAAUGGUGAGUGUAUGUGGCUACAGUAUGGAGACCAAGAGGAAGAAAGACAAUUUCAUGGGUCCCAAGACUGCACAGCCUUGUGGGAAAUAAUCACUACAGGUGUAUUAUGUUUGAGUCAUGUCUUCUUUUUUAACUGUGAUGUAUAUCACUCCCCAGAUAUUAUCAUGUGUUAGCAGACAAGUUAAUCGUCUCAUAUAUUCAGGUAUCUCCUGAAACCUUGUAGACAUGUUCUACACAGGUCAACCAAAAUGUGUAUGUAAAAUAUAUUUGAAUCCCCUUUUUGUUGUGUGCCUAAUGUAAAUGAGCCCUGCUAUACUGUUCUAGAAAAGCCACACAUGUCACAAGUGCCUUUGGGCAGUGGUGGAAAAAGUACCCAGUUGUCAUACUUGAGUAAA